GUUUGAAGAGAAGAGAAAAGAGAGGGAAAAGCUAGGGCAUGAGGAAGAAGAAGAAGAAGAAGAGAAGGAGAAGUUGGAGACCUAGGAGAUGAAGGAAGCUUAGGGAUGGAUUCCCCAUAUGAGGUUCUUUGAGAGGCUCGUGCUAGAGGACCGUGCUCGCGGCUUUGGUGCAUCAGGAGGCUCGGAAUGCAGGUAAGGGCAAUGACUGAGUCAACCAACCAUGAGUACGGAGAGCGUGAAGCGACGCGUACAUGUUUGGCCUGCCCGACUGCUUUGGUUGGGGGUUUAUUCGUAAAUGGCUGUAAUAAUCUAUGAUUUUAUGAUUUCUCAAACUGUAACCUUAUUUCAAGAUGUGAUUAGUUUUCAAACCUUAUUUUGGGAUCCCAAAUGUUUAAUAAUAGAAGUUUUAA
Humulus lupulus (European hop) is the source of this 410-nucleotide long non-coding RNA. RefSeq lists it as uncharacterized. The record is from RefSeq and is a predicted model, not a curated record. Lineage: Eukaryota; Viridiplantae; Streptophyta; Magnoliopsida; Rosales; Cannabaceae. The transcript is spliced from 3 exons.